UACGGGGGGGGCAAGCGUUGUUCGGAAUUACUGGGCGUAAAGGGCUCGUAGGCGGCCAACUAAGUCAUGCGUGAAAUCCCUCGGCUUAACCGGGGAACUGCGUCUGAUACUGGAUGGCUUGAGUUCGGGAGAGGGAUGCGGAAUUCCAGGUGUAGCGGUGAAAUGCGUAGAUAUCUGGAGGAACACCGGUGGCGAAGGCGACGUCCUGGACCGGCAUUGACGCUGAGGCGCGAAAGCCAGGGGAGCAAACGGG
RNAcentral lists this ribosomal RNA (253 nucleotides) under uncultured bacterium. Its description in RNAcentral is "partial 16S ribosomal RNA". It matches the Rfam family "Bacterial small subunit ribosomal RNA", at positions 524 to 776 of the family's 1533-position model. The record is from RNAcentral.